GGUCCCAAUAAAGUUAAUAGCAGGUAUAAAGAUAGUAACAUAAAAACAUCUGAAUGGUCAGAGGUUAUAAGUGAUAUUAUUUUUAUCUCAGUUUAGAAGAGAAAACUAGACAGGCAAUCCUGAUUCUGUGAGGUUGCUGAGUUUCAUUCUCUCAUUUUCACACUAAUAUAGUACUGGAAAAACCUGAUGCUAAAAGUUGAGUCAUAUUCAUUGGUAUGAGUCUAUCAUCACAAAAUAAGCAGACAUCAUGGUUUUGUAAGUUUCAGAAACCAAAAUUUCUGUAUAAACCUGAAGUCAUUUAUAUUUUCUAAAUUAAUAUAACAAAAAGAGCAUCAAGUUUAUGUAUGUAAACAUAAACAGUGGCAACAAUUUAAAGGCUCUUAUAAUUAAUUUUAAAAACAGAAACCUCAGUUAAAAGGCCCUUAUAAUUAACAUUCUAAUUAUAUUUUUAGAUGGUUAAUAUAUAUUCAGUCUUUCAUAUGCUGAGUAUCUUUUGUAAGUUAGUAACUGGGCUGUAUAAAGUGUAUGACAUCGUUUUUUAUAAGACAUUAAUUGAGAUCCCUAUUUUCCUGAGGUGAUUAUUUACCCUGGGUCAGGGUACAGGUCUCUCAGGUAGCCUGCGCUAUCCUUAGUCAGGGUCCAGGUCCACAGCGAUUUAAGAUGACAAGGACGAUUUCUGUGUCAGCACAGUGACAGCUCCAUCCCUCCCAUCCCAUGCCAUACACAUCCUCUCCCCAUCAACAACAACCUUUCACUAGCUUAUUUUCAGAAGUCUAUAUUUGCUUAUAUUUGCUUUUAUCUGACCCUGUCAAAUUCAACUGAGUCAGAUUUUCCCACAUUUUUAUCAUUACCUUGGCCAUUCUUACUAUAAAUAUCCAAGUCAUCUUUUUAUAUAACGGUAGUUUUCUGGAGAAAGAAAAGUUUCAGUGAUAGGUAUUAAAGCAGUUUUCAGCCAUGAGCCAGUCUUAAGUGGAAAGGGAACUUUCAGGAGCUGUCCAGGUGUUGGAGCUUUCUACAGGGAGGCUGGGGAAGCAGUUGGUAGUUCUUUUUUGGUAAUAUACAAGAAAUAUGUAAAUUUCUCCAGCUUUAAGUGUUGACCUCUGUUAAAGCCAAUCAAUUCUUACAAGCUUUUUAGAAGAAUCUUAGUGAAAAUUAUUUUUUUACUAGAACAUUUUUGUAGAAAGACAUGUUCUAAACUAUAUGUAAAAACAAAAUAAAAAAUACAUGAUAGAAAGCUUGUAGAUUUGUGAACAAUGGCUUUGAUACAAUUACGUAGACUUGUUUUUUUUAAUUUUUAAUUUAAUGAUAAAACCUCAAUUGUUUUGUUUUUCUAUUUCAUGUAAAUUUUAGUUUGGAGAAAAAAGGCUUUCUGACAAUAUUGGAUUUGUUUUUUUGAUGAAAGUGGCAGCUUUUUAGAAAAAGGCAAAGCCAAGUUUUUUCCUGCCUGCGGUCAUCAAAAAUCCCUGAUUCCCUAUGAAAGUAGAAUUUCAGUCCAGGCACCUGACUUACACUUCAAGAGGACCACAUUUCAGUGUGGCAGAGGCAGAUCCUAUAAACAGUGUGUGCACAUCACUGCUUUAUAAAACUUCCUCUGUGUCUGGCCUGUGGAAACGAAAAGCAAUGGAAAGUGUCUGAGUGCCUGUGACAGAAGUUCUCCAAGACUUAUCCUGAAAUCUACCUGGCUCUUUCACAGAAGAGAAAAAUAAUGUGAUGUUUUCACAACAAAAUACAAAAAUAAUCUUUAAAUUUCCUCAACAAAUUUUAUUCUCAUAUGACAACAUGAUCAAGUCAUUUGAGCCUGCUGGAAAUAAUCAGAUUGAUUGUUACCCUUGACCUCUGAGAGUUCCUAAAAAUUAUCCUGAGCAGUGCUACCUAUGAACUAAAACCAGAAAUACUGGGUAAACCAGUUACGCUAGUACAACAGGAGCCAGGUGAUGAAUUCUGGUAAUCUCCUACCUCACAAAAGAACAGCACUAAUUACACAUCUGAAGAUACUUUUUUCUGCACUUUGGAAGCAUCAGCCACUCCAGUGAAGGUGAAUAUGUAGAAGAAAAGCAACAGGACUAUUUUACUACCCAGUCUCUGGAUGCAGAUAGCAGAGAGCACGUGGUCAAGAGCAUCCUGGGCAUCGCUGUGCAAGGUAUGAGCAGGUACCCGCUGCAGCACGUGGUGACAGUCUAGGGUAGCUCCUAUGGUGAGCCACUAGAGGCUGCUCAAUAAACGCAGCCCACAGCCUCGCUCCUCGAGGAGGGCAGGCGAGAUAUGUGCACAACUGAAGAAAACCACUGCUACAGCAGCUGCCUGAAAGACAACAUGUUCUUCCUGGUUGGGAUAGUGAGGAAUUACAAGGAUAGAAGUAAAGAAAAAAAAAGUUGAGAUUUCCUUUUCUGAUUUCUGGGUCAUUUUAUUUGCUGGUUAUAAGCGUUAACAGUUGAAGACAAGAUCUUGCUGACUGACGCUAUUUCUAUUACACAUAGGCCAUUCUGCUUGACGAAAUUGUGGGGGGGAAAUAAUGCACAGGAACAAGCUAGAACUCCAGCAAAAACAUCAACGGAUUUCAUCCUUGGCCAUCCUUUUGAAUAGCUGCUUGGGAAAAGGAGCUUUCCAGCUAAGAAGAACAAAAACUAUACAGCUGUCAUGAGUUCUGAAAAGCAGAAUGAACUACAUCGUAGAAAUGAAUUCAUUUACCAGAAUCUAGGAACAGAUUCAAA
Long non-coding RNA from Falco peregrinus (peregrine falcon), 2711 nucleotides. RefSeq lists it as uncharacterized. The record is from RefSeq and is a predicted model, not a curated record. The transcript has 6 exons. NCBI's taxonomy places the organism in Eukaryota, Metazoa, Chordata, Aves, Falconiformes, Falconidae.